This 272-nucleotide unclassified non-coding RNA is filed under the name fungal sp. RNAcentral describes it as "partial contains small subunit ribosomal RNA, internal transcribed spacer 1, and 5.8S ribosomal RNA". The stretch from base 1 to 46 matches the Rfam family "Eukaryotic small subunit ribosomal RNA", at positions 1786 to 1831 of the family's 1831-position model. The record is from RNAcentral. RNAcentral also lists the same sequence under 1 other name. Lineage: Eukaryota; Fungi.
AAGUCGUAACAAGGUUUCCGUAGGUGAACCUGCGGAAGGAUCAUUAGCGAAGCUCGGAAUGCCAGUCCGGUACUGCAGCUGCCCAGCGAUGGGAUGUGCUCGUCUGGGCUGGUGUCCCUUCUCUAUUCCACCCCACUGUGAACCAAGCGUGCGAGCAGAAGAGAGAUCGGAAGCUCGCAUGCUCACUUUAACAUACCCCCGAUUAAGUAUCUGAAUGUACCUUGCGUUAACUCGCACAAAUACAACUUUCAACAACGGAUCUCUUGGCUCUC